AUACGUAGGUGGCGAGCGUUGUCCGGAAUUACUGGGUGUAAAGGGCGUGUAGGCGGGGUGAUAAGUCAGAUGUGAAAUACCAGGGCUCAACUCUGGGGCUGCAUCUGAAACUAUGAUUCUUGAGUGCCGGAGAGGAAAGCGGAAUUCCCAGUGUAGCGGUGAAAUGCGUAGAUAUUGGGAGGAACACCAGUGGCGAAGGCGGCUUUCUGGACGGUAACUGACGCUGAGGCGCGAAAGCGUGGGGAGCAAACAGGAUUAGAUACCCUGGUAGUCCACGCCGUAAACGAUGGAUACUAGGUGUAGGAGGUAUCGACCCCUUCUGUGCCGGAGUUAACACAAUAAGUAUCCCACCUGGGGAGUACGGCCGCAAGGUUGAA
RNAcentral lists this ribosomal RNA (377 nucleotides) under uncultured bacterium. Its description in RNAcentral is "bacterial SSU rRNA". It matches the Rfam family "Bacterial small subunit ribosomal RNA", at positions 523 to 898 of the family's 1533-position model. The record is from RNAcentral.